Camellia sinensis is the source of this 993-nucleotide non-coding RNA. The record is from RefSeq and is a predicted model, not a curated record. NCBI's taxonomy places the organism in Eukaryota, Viridiplantae, Streptophyta, Magnoliopsida, Ericales, Theaceae.
AUAUAAUAAUAGCAAUAAAGGAGAAGAUCAUGUCAGCAAGCAUUCUUAGGUGAAGGGACCACAACCAAGCAUGUAGAAUAAUUUAAAAGUACUGUAUAUAUUUUAAAAUUAUGUCAAGAUGUUAUACAUGUGCAUUGGUUCAGCAACUUGUGUCAGUCUGUGGCCCUUCUCAUCGAAUGGCAGCAGGCGCAUAUAGUCUUUUGGCUGUAGUGCUCUACCAUACCGGGGAUUUUAAUCAGGCUACUAUCUAUCAGCAAAAAGCUUUGGAUAUCAAUGAGAGAGAGUUUGGACUUGAUCAUCCAGAUACAAUGAAGAGUUAUGGAGACCUAGCUGUUUUUUACUAUCGGCUCCAACACACAGAACUAGCCUUGAAGUAUGCCUUAAGAGUAUUUCGUAUCCUAAGCUUUUCUCCUUAGUGUAGUGUUGCUACUCUUUUUGUUUAAUAUCACACUCACUUCUUUGAUUCUCUGAUCAGUACUUGUUAUCUCUAUUGUCUUGUGCUAUGUUCCCUGUGUCUCUUGCACAUAUUAAGAGAUAUGAACUCCACAUGGAAUUAACUUUUGAACUACUUGAAUUCUUGAAACUCAAAAUUAAUUCAAGAUUGCUGGGAAAGUGAAAAGUCAAUUUGCACUGUUUUGAAUGUGGUUGAAAUAGCAUAAUGAUUUUCAAUUGAUUCAGAUUCUAUUUGUUCACGGAAAUGGAGGAGCAGUAGAUAUUUUGCAAAACUGCUCUGGUGAAACGAUCCUUGGGAGUUAUUUUAUUUUAAUUGAUAUGAAUAUUUUUGUUCAAGCUGUAGUCCUAGUUGUCAUUAUUCAAAUUUUUACGGUUAAGUAUGGUUAGACCAUGCACUUUCAUCCCUAUUCUGGGGUCUCGUAGUUCAGUCUACUUGACUGUGCCCCAGGCAAGAGUGGCUAAUGUAGUUUUUCAAUAUUUUCUAAAGCUCCUUCUCAAGUUUUUACAAAAAAAAAAAAAAAAAAAUAGAUACAAUGAUGG